RNAcentral lists this transfer RNA (70 nucleotides) under Schistocephalus solidus. It matches the Rfam family "tRNA". Rfam says of the family: Transfer RNA (tRNA) molecules are approximately 80 nucleotides in length. Their secondary structure includes four short double-helical elements and three loops (D, anti-codon, and T loops). Further hydrogen bonds mediate the characteristic L-shaped molecular structure. tRNAs have two regions of fundamental functional importance: the anti-codon, which is responsible for specific mRNA codon recognition, and the 3' end, to which the tRNAs corresponding amino acid is attached (by aminoacyl-tRNA synthetases). tRNAs cope with the degeneracy of the genetic code in two manners: having more than one tRNA (with a specific anti-codon) for a particular amino acid; and 'wobble' base-pairing, i.e. permitting non-standard base-pairing at the 3rd anti-codon position. Lineage: Eukaryota; Metazoa; Platyhelminthes; Cestoda; Diphyllobothriidea; Diphyllobothriidae. The record is from Rfam by way of RNAcentral.
GAGCCCAUGGCUCAAUGGUUAGAGCGUUUGAUUUCUAUUCAACCGGUCACGAGUUCGAACCUGGGGCGCG